RNAcentral lists this ribosomal RNA (239 nucleotides) under uncultured bacterium. RNAcentral describes it as "partial 16S ribosomal RNA". It matches the Rfam family "Bacterial small subunit ribosomal RNA", at positions 118 to 351 of the family's 1533-position model. The record is from RNAcentral.
UGAGUAACCUGCCCUUAACUCUGGGAUAAGCCUGGGGAAACUCGGUCUAAUACCGGAUAUGACUCCUCAUCGCAUGGUGGGGGGUGGAAAGCUUUAUUGUGGUCUUGGAUGGACUCGCGGCCUAUCAGCUUGUUGGUGAGGUAAUAGCUCACCAAGGCGAUGGACGGGUAGCCGGCCUGGAGGGGGUGACCGGCCACACUGGGACUGAGACACGGCCCAGACCUCCGUACGGGAGGCAG